RNAcentral lists this ribosomal RNA (934 nucleotides) under uncultured bacterium. Its description in RNAcentral is "bacterial SSU rRNA". It matches the Rfam family "Bacterial small subunit ribosomal RNA", at positions 10 to 985 of the family's 1533-position model. The record is from RNAcentral.
AGUUUGAUCCUGGCUCAGGAUGAACGCUGGCGGUCUGCUUAACACAUGCAAGUCGAACGGAGUGCUUCGGCACUUAGUGGCGGACGGGUGAGUAACGCGUGAGAAUCUGCCCUUAGGACGGGGACAACAGCUGGAAACGGCUGCUAAUACCCGAUGUGCCGAGAGGUGAAACAUUUUAUGGCCUGAGGAUGAGCUCGCGUCUGAUUAGCUAGUUGGUGGGGUAAGAGCCUACCAAGGCGACGAUCAGUAGCUGGUCUGAGAGGAUGAUCAGCCACACUGGGACUGAGACACGGCCCAGACUCCUACGGGAGGCAGCAGUGGGGAAUUUUCCGCAAUGGGCGCAAGCCUGACGGAGCAAGACCGCGUGCGGGAGGACGGCCUAUUGGUUGUAAACCGCUUUUGAUAGGGAAGAAGUACUGACGGUACCUAUCGAAUCAGCAUCGGCUAACUCCGUGCCAGCAGCCGCGGUAAUACGGAGGAUGCAAGCGUUAUCCGGAAUUAUUGGGCGUAAAGCGUCCGUAGGUGGUUGUUCAAGUCUGCUGUUAAAGCGUGCGGCUUAACCGCAUACCAGCAGUGGAAACUGGGCGACUAGAGUGCGGUAGGGGUCAGGGGAAUUCCCAGUGUAGCGGUGAAAUGCGUAGAUAUUGGGAAGAACACCGGUGGCGAAAGCGCCUGACUGGACCUGCACUGACACUGAGGGACGAAAGCUAGGGGAGCGAAAGGGAUUAGAUACCCCUGUAGUCCUAGCCGUAAACGAUGGACACUAGGUGUUGCCCGUAUCGACCCGGGCAGUGCCGUAGUCAACGCGUUAAGUGUCCCGCCUGGGGAGUACGCUCGCAAGAGUGAAACUCAAAGGAAUUGACNGGGGCCCGCACAAGCGGUGGAGUAUGUGGUUUAAUUCGAUGCAACGCGAAGAACCUUACCAGGGCUUGAC